UAAUAAGUGUUUUAUGGCACUUUUUAAUCCAUAUCCACCUUGUGUGCAAUGUCAGUCGAUCUUCUUCAUGGAGACGACCAAACAUCAACCUUAUUUUUAACUCUUUGUCUGAAAAAUAUUAUGAAUAAACAGUUCAAAUA
Molecule: unclassified non-coding RNA, 140 nt
Filed under: soil metagenome
Description: partial internal transcribed spacer 1
Source: RNAcentral